UCCGGCUUGUCACCGGCAGUCUCCCAUGAGUCCCCAACUUAAUGCUGGCAACAUGGGACAGGGGUUGCGCUCGUUACGGGACUUAACCCAACAUCUCACGACACGAGCUGACGACAACCAUGCACCACCUGUAACCGAGUGUCCAAAGAGUUCCACAUUUCUGCGGCGUUCUCGGUUAUGUCAAGCCUUGGUAAGGUUCUUCGCGUUGCAUCGAAUUAAACCACAUGCUCCGCUGCUUGUGCGGGCCCCCGUCAAUUCCUUUGAGUUUUAGCCUUGCGGCCGUACUCCCCAGGCGGGGUGCUUAAUGCGUUAGCUUCGGCACGGAUGGAGUCGACACCACCCACACCUAGCACCCAUCGUUUACGGCUGGGACUAC
This 376-nucleotide unclassified non-coding RNA is filed under the name uncultured Actinomycetes bacterium. Its description in RNAcentral is "uncultured actinobacterium contains 16S-23S intergenic spacer region". Lineage: Bacteria; Bacillati; Actinomycetota; Actinomycetes. The record is from RNAcentral.